GUUUUAUUUUACUAAUGUGAACAAUUUUGCAUAUGAAUGAAAUCUAAAAGGUCAAGAAGGGUUUAUCAUCUCACUGGGAAGUCGAAACUAGCACCUUGGGCGUAAUACAUGACACGAUAAGCUUAUACAAUUUGCGUUCAGUUGUGAAAUCAGACGACGAUUUUUCUAAGACUUCGGAGAAGAGAUCAAUGAGAAAAAAAGGAAUCAGGGAAACAUUCCGAGAAGGGGCCUCUCUUCAAGUUUAGAUGAGAUUUCAAUUUUGAAGAUGAUUCCAAGGAUAACAUACUAUGUUCCCUGCCUUCCCAAAGAGGGUUACCUUGUCUCCAGGGAUGCAAAUGUUUUUGGUUCUACUGUUGGCUUGGUCACAAAAAAAAUGCAUUAGCCCCGAGCUCAGCAUGUGAGCAAGAACACUGUAUUUAUUUGUAAGAAACUAGCGAAGCAGCAGAAACAUUGGCUGAUCUCAACAAUCUCUAAUCAACGUCCCCUUUCCCGAGGUUUCCUUGGGAGUUGAUUUAUCUUUAAUUUGUUAUGGGAAAACUUUCUCCAUUAUAAGCCCUUCACCAAUUAAUACAAAUAUUUUCAGAUACCGUAA
This is a non-coding RNA of Callorhinus ursinus (northern fur seal), 592 nucleotides long. The record is from RefSeq and is a predicted model, not a curated record. Lineage: Eukaryota; Metazoa; Chordata; Mammalia; Carnivora; Otariidae.